Molecule: transfer RNA, 85 nt
Filed under: Actinomycetota bacterium
Lineage: Bacteria; Bacillati; Actinomycetota
Description: tRNA-Leu
Rfam family: tRNA
About the family: Transfer RNA (tRNA) molecules are approximately 80 nucleotides in length. Their secondary structure includes four short double-helical elements and three loops (D, anti-codon, and T loops).
Source: RNAcentral
GCCGGGGUGGCGUAAUCGGCGAAACGCGAUGGCCUCAAAAUCCAUUGGGCUUCGGCCCGUGCGGGUUCGAGUCCCGCCCCCGGCA